UUUCUUAAGAAGCCACAUAUAUACUGUAUGCCUAUGCAAUUCGUAGUAUAACCAUAUGCUAUAUGUAGAGAUUAGUAGUAUAAUAGCAGUUGUUGACAUGUUGCUUAUGGGACAACUCCUUAUUAAUUAACUGAAGCACGAUAUGUGAAAAUUAAUCGAGCAAAAUGAUAUCCAUGAAUUGACUCAGUUAUUUCAUGAGCUUGGUCCUAAUGGUGCAUAUUCAAAGGAUUUCUCCAUCUUUAUUUUGAUCAUGCGUGACAGUGUUUAUCGUCUUCGUGUCAUUUCCUUCAAUCUGGAAUUAGUCAUGGUAGUUAUGUUGAUUGCUCACUGGCAUUGCAAUGUCCAAAUUAGUGAGUAAACAAGUUCAUCCAACCAGACUUCCUGUCUUUUUUCCUUCAGUGUUUUUUAGCCUAUAGAGUUCACUUGUGACAAAUGGAGACACCACUUUUGGUUAUAUUAUAAGACAUCCAUCUGGUCAACUUACUGGAGUGGUGUCUACCUAGCUGUAGAAGUACCAUGUUCCACUAAGUCCAUACUGCAGCUCGAUUCAGUUAUGGUGUGUAAAAUAAAACAUAUCACCGUAGUUUUUGUCUGAUUGCUUAUUCAGUUUGCAUCUUGAUAUUUAUUUUUAUUUUUCAGUAAAAAUAUGUCCUGACCGCGCUCAUCAUCCUGUAAUCAGUACUGCUGCAUCGCCCAGCAAAGCGAGCAAGGGGCACACCAUCUUCAUACUUCCUCCAUUCCAAUGAAUAAGGAAUGCACACUUUUCAAGGUUCACCUUUGACCUACAGAUCCGAUGGAACUAAAGAGACAACGUGCUAGGGAGCGGUAUGUUGCAGAUGGAUAAACAAAAGAAAGAUGAACACUCAAGAAGCGUCGUGGAGGUGGAGCCUAUCUCAAAAGAAAGCUCGGCCAGGUUUUCAUCCCCAAGAGGCGACAUUACAUGGAACAAGGAAAAUAUGGUUCCUGGCGAAGAUACUGAAUGGCUAAGCAGAAAUGGCACGCACAUGAGGAGAAACAAUUCAUCUUGCCAUUUGAAGGGGAAUUUAACCUAAAAUCUUCAGUGUUUAGUGUGUGUCCUUCGAUGGCUGCCUUUCAUGCCAGGUAGCUUCUUGCAGGAGACCAGCUAUAGGCGCUUGGAGAUGGGGUGAGCAUCGAGCGACAAGUGCUGCAGCUAUGCUUCAACGA
Lolium rigidum is the source of this 1185-nucleotide long non-coding RNA. RefSeq lists it as uncharacterized. The transcript has 3 exons. NCBI's taxonomy places the organism in Eukaryota, Viridiplantae, Streptophyta, Magnoliopsida, Poales, Poaceae. The record is from RefSeq and is a predicted model, not a curated record.